GACGAACGCUGGCGGCGUGCUUAACACAUGCAAGUCGAACGGAAAGGCCCUGCUUGCAGGGUACUCGAGUGGCGAACGGGUGAGUAACACGUGGGUGAUCUGCCCUGCACUUCGGGAUAAGCUUGGGAAACUGGGUCUAAUACCGGAUAGGAGCCAUCUUUAGUGUGGUGGUUGGAAAGUUUUUUCGGUGUAGGAUGAGCUCGCGGCCUAUCAGCUUGUUGGUGGGGUAAUGGCCUACCAAGGCGGCGACGGGUAGCCGGCCUGAGAGGGUGUACGGCCACAUUGGGACUGAGAUACGGCCCAGACUCCUACGGGAGGCAGCAGUGGGGAAUAUUGCACAAUGGGCGCAAGCCUGAUGCAGCGACGCCGCGUGGGGGAUGAAGGCCUUCGGGUUGUAAACUCCUUUCGCUAGGGACGAAGCGUUGUUGUGACGGUACCUAGAGAAGAAGCACCGGCUAACUACGUG
RNAcentral lists this ribosomal RNA (466 nucleotides) under uncultured bacterium. RNAcentral's name for it is "partial 16S ribosomal RNA". It matches the Rfam family "Bacterial small subunit ribosomal RNA", at positions 28 to 507 of the family's 1533-position model. The record is from RNAcentral.